This 627-nucleotide ribosomal RNA is filed under the name uncultured Russulaceae. Its description in RNAcentral is "LSU rRNA". It matches the Rfam family "Eukaryotic large subunit ribosomal RNA", at positions 47 to 649 of the family's 3401-position model. The record is from RNAcentral. Lineage: Eukaryota; Fungi; Basidiomycota; Agaricomycetes; Russulales; Russulaceae.
UAAGNGGAGGAAAAGAAACUAACAAGGAUUCCCCUAGUAACUGCGAGUGAAGCGGGAAAAGCUCAAAUUUAAAAUCUGGCGGUCUUUGNCCGUCCGAGUUGUAAUUUAGAGAAGCGUCUUCCGCGCCGGACCGUGCACAAGUCUCCUGGAAUGGAGCGUCAUAGAGGGUGAGAAUCCCGUCUUUGGCACGGAUGCCCGGUGCUUCUGUGAUGCGCUCUCGAAGAGUCGAGUUGUUUGGGAAUGCAGCUCAAAAUGGGUGGUGAACUCCAUCUAAAGCUAAAUAUUGGCGAGAGACCGAUAGCGAACAAGUACCGUGAGGGAAAGAUGAAAAGCACUUUGGAAAGAGAGUGAAACAGUACGUGAAAUUGUUGAAAGGGAAACGCUUGAAGUCAGUCGCGUCGACCGAGACUCAGCCUUGCCUCGGCUUGGUGUACUUCUCGGCCCGACGGGUCAGCGUCGAUUUCGCUCCUCGGAUAAUGGCAAGGGAAAGGUGGCACCUUUACGGGUGUGUUAUAGUCUCCUGUCGCAUGCGAGGGGUGGGAUCGAGGAACUCAGCGCGCACCUUGGUGUCGGGGCUUCUGCCCACGUCACGCGCUUAGGAUGCUGGCGUAAUGGCUUUAAACGACC